UUCAUAAAAGAAGCAAACUUCAUGAAUGUUUUUUGUGAGCAACAAGUAUGUGCUCCAAUCACUACAUCACAAAAAAAUAAGAGUUGUAGAAAUGAUUGUAAAGUCAAGACAGCCAUGACAUGAUGUUCUUUACAAGUGUACGUACACUUUUGAGGGCGACUGUAUGCUGAAAUGUUCCACAGCCUGUAUGCCACAUGUCCAGUGACAGCAUUCUCCCAUAGGAAACAACUCCAGUUCUAACGAUUUAUCGACAUAUCAAUUUAUAUUCCUACAUCACAAGUAUAUCAAUUUGUGCUCGGCAAGUUUGCCUUCCGGAAGACAGGUCUCGAACGUUUUGAAGGAGAAUGAAAUCAAUUUUUUUCCAAAACAUUGGAUUGAAGAACUUUAUACGAAGUUUAACACUUUUAUGGAUCAGGACGUUAAACGUUAAGUUUGUUUGCCCGUCGGUGGUGUAAUCAAAACAAAAACGUCGGAUAGCUACGGCGGCUGAGAGAAGUCGUAACAAAAGCCGACGCCACAAGACGAUAUCAUGAAUUGCAACACAAAAAGGUUGUGCUACAGUACAAUUGCAGAAGCCACAACAAAGUCAAACCGCAACGUAACGGAAGUGACGGCUGCGCGGGCUACGGCGAGGCACAGACUUACGGAACACAACAACAACUGGCAGCCAAGGAAAAGUCAUUUUAUCAGAAACUAAUAAAUAAAUAAAUAUACAAUAAUAUAUAAUAAAAAACCCAAGUAGGAAGUGAGGGGCCAACACCAUCAGCAGGGCUGAGGGGGCACACCUGGGACACGGUCCAGGGCAGGGAACAGAAUCCAGUUAUGGCCCAGUCGAAGAACUUUAUUUAGCAGGUAAAUCUACUGUUAAAAUGUUGGUCAGUCUACUUUUACUAAAAACUGCUUGAAUGUUGAAAAUGUGAGCAGAAAAGGUUUCCUUCUGUUGAUUCAACUUAAGUGUGGGUUGGACUUAGACUUAGACAAACUUUAUGCAUCCAUCCAUCCAUUUUCUACCGCUUGUCCCUUUCAGGGUCACAGGGGGGUGUCGGAGCCUAUCUCAGCUGCAUUCGGGUGGAAGGCGGGGUACACUCUGGACAAGUCACCACAGAUAGACAGACAACAUUCACACUCACAUUGAAUGUGUCAUUAAUUCAUUUGAAUUUUAAUUCAAUAGAUAGUCAUUGUAACUACAAUAAUUAAUUGAAUGUGAAAUUGCAUUUCAUUAUUGGGUCAUUUAAUCAUUUCAAUAUUUAACUAUUCGACAAAUUCCUUAUUUCAAUGUUUACUUAUGCAGUCAUUUCAUGAAAUUAUUUCAUGAUUUAGGAAAAUUGCUCCACACAGUAGCUCAGUUUCAAAGGAUGGAAAGGAUAAUGCAGGUUUUAAGUAGACUAAAAACGUACCAUAGUAGCGAUAUUAAAGACAAGAUAUAUUUCAUCUUUACAUAUUAUGUAUACCAGGGGGAGGGAACCUAUGGCUCUAGAGCCAGAUGUGGCUCUUUUGAUGACUGCAUCUGGCUCUCAGAUACAUCUGACCUGACUUAACACGAUUAGUAAUGAAUAAUUCCGCCAGUAAUCAGUGUUAAAAAUAAUGUUUAACAUAUAAAACAUUCUUAUGCAUUUUAAUCCAUCCAUCCGUUUUCAACCGCACCUGUUCAAUAAGUCACAUCAAUGGUAAGAAGUCCAUCCAUCUAUUCUCUACCGCUUGUCCCUUUUGGCGUCACGGGGGUUGCUGGAGCCUAUCUUAGCUGCAUUUGGGCAGAAGGCGGUGUACACCCUGGACAAGUCGCCACCUCCUCACAGGGCCAACACAGACAACAUUCACACAUUAGGGACCAUUUAGUGUUGCCAAAGAAGUAUUUUAUUUAUUAUUGGUUAGCUUCAGAAUAAAAAUGAUAACAAAUAUAAGACUUAUACUCUAAAAAUGUAGGUCUUACUUAAAAAAAGUGCAUGCAUUUAGUUGUAUUCAGUGUUAAUACCUCGGUUGGUAAAGUGUCCGUGCCAUCAACUUGAGAGUUGCAGGUUCGAUUCCCGCUUGUGCCAUCCUAGUUACUGCCGUUGUGUCCUUGGGCAAGACACUUUACCCACCUGCUCCCAGUGCCACCCACACUGGUUUAAAUGUAACUUAGAUAUUGGGUUUCACUAUGUAAAGCGCUUUGAGUCACUAGAGAAAAGCGCUAUAUAAAUAUAAUUCACUAAUUCACUUCACUUAAAACAUAUGAUACGGCUCUCACGGUAAUUCACUUUCAAAAAUGUGGCUUUUAUGGCUCUCUCAGCCAAAAAGGUUCCCGACCCCUGAUGUGUACAGGAUACUGAUAUUAUAUAUCACAUUAUCCAUCCAUCCAUUGUCUACCGCUUAUUCCCUUUGGGGUUGCAGGGGGCGCUGGUGCCUAUCUCAGCUACAAUCGAGCGGAAGGCGGUGUACACCCUGGACAAGUCGGCACCUCAUCGCAGUAUAUUAUAUUGUUAUAUAAUAUAUAUACAACAUAUAACAAUUACCAUGUAGAAUAUUACAGUAUAUGUAACAGCUGCAGCAGUUGCACUUUAUUCAAAUAAGAUGUGAAUGCAUUGGCCGUUAAUUGUUGUGUACUUUGGCUCGUUUGUAUUGAUAAUUAUCUAAUUCCCUCACAAGAAGUAACAGGAAUAUAGCAAACUUGACAUGCAGGGUCCAGUAUUCACUAUUUAUUUCUCAGUCACACUGCUUGAAUAUUGUUUGCUAAAAGUUACUGAAUUGAUUUUAACUUACGUAAUCUUAUCGGUUGUAUUGUUCUAAAAAAAAAAAAGAACAUUAUCGUCACAAAUUCUGAAUCAAAUUGUCGAUAAAAAGUGUUAUCAUACAUGUCAUUUAUUUCUGUUGUUUUCUCCGUGUUUCUCGUGGAUUGGAUUUUCACAAUAAACUUGCACACCGUGGUCUGCAACUACCCGGGCCGCACUUUGGACACCCCCUGCUCUCCAGUGCCAAAACAGCCGCCCUUCGAGAAGCUGAUUGGCUGUCAUAAGCAGAGGGCGGGACUUUAGUGUGCAUUCUCAGCUGUGAUUGGUUUACCUACUUUGAACCCGGAAAGCAGACAUACUCUGUGUCAAAGAACAACAUUCUUCCGUCAAAACGCUUCUUUUUAUUUAUAAACGACAAGCCAAUCUUCCAGUCGGUGGAGACGUACACGAAGAAACGUUUGAGUGUGCUCUCGCUGGCCGGCAUCAUCAUCUUUUUUUUUUUUCUUUGUCAUGAAAAAGGUAGGUUUUUUGGGGGUUGGUGCACUAAUUGUAAGUGUAUCUUGUGUUUUUUAUGUUGAUUUAAUUUAAAAAAAUUGUUUUAAAUAAAUGAAAAUAAUAAAAAAAUCUUCUGCAACCCAGUGGUUGGGGACCACUGGUGUAAAUGGUAAAUAAAAAGAGAAUACAAUGAUUUGCAAAUCCUUUUCAACUUGUAUUUAAUUUAAUUUAUCUCAAAGACAAGAUACAUCAUGUUCACACUGAGAAACUGCAUUUUUUUGUUGUUGGGAAAAUACUAGCUCAUUUGGAAUUUGAAGCCUGCAACAGGCUUCAAAAAGCGCUGGCACACCUGGCAAAGAAGACUGAGACGCUGUAGUGCAUCAAAAAGUGACAGCGGUGUGUUAAGGAUAUCACCACAAUGGCUCAGGAACACUUCAGAAAACCACUAUCAGUAACUAAAGUUGAAUGCUACACCUGUAAGUGCAAGUUAAAACUCUACUAUGCAAAGCCAAAGCCAUUUAUCAACAACAUCCAGAAACGCUGUCGACUUCGCUGGGCCCGAGCUCAUCUAAGAUGGACUGAUGCAAAGUGGAAAAGUGUUUUGUAGUCUGACGAGUGCACUUUUCAAAUUAUUUUUGAAAACUGUCCAAAACAAAGAGGAAAAGAACCAUCCGGACUGUCCCAUACCAUGUGUGAUGGUAUGGGGGUGCAUUAGUGACCAAGGCAUGGCUAACUUACACAUCUGUGAAGGCACCAUUAAUGCUGAAAGGUACAUACAGCUUUUGGAACAACAUAUAGGGACGGCGUGGCGCAGUGGGAGAGUGGCCGUGCGCAACCCGAGGGUCACUGGUUCAAAUCCCACCUAGAACCAACCUCGUCACGUCCGUUGUGUCCUGAGCAAGACACUUCACCCUUGCUCCUGAUGGGUAAUGGUUGGUGCCUUGCAUGGCAGCUCCCUCCAUCAGUGUGUGAAUGUGUGUGUGAAUGGGUAAAUGUGGAAGUAGUGUCAAAGCGCUUUGAGUACCUUGAAGGUAGAAAAGCGCUAUACAAGUACAACCCAUUUAUCAUUUAUUAUAUGUUGCCAUCCAUGGACGCCCCUGCUUAUUUCAGCAAGACAAUGCUGUGUUCCAACAGUGUGGCUUCAUAUUAAAAGAGUGCAGGUACUACACUGGCCUGCCUGUAGUUCAGACCCGUCUCCCAUUGAAAAUGUGUGGUGCAAUAUGAAGGCUAAAAUAUGAGAAGGGGGACUGUUGAACAACUUAAGCUGUACAUCAAUCAAGAAUGGGAAAGAAUUCCACUUCAAAAAUGUGUCUCCUCAGUUCCCAAACCUGCACUGAGUGUUGUUCCUUUGACAUUAUAGGCAUUAUUGCCCUUGAAACAAGUCCUCGCUCGACCUUUUUCUUGACAUUUCACCUCCCAGAGGCUUGUGAGUCGUGUGACAUCUUCCCAAGUAGUGGGUCUCCAGCUUCAUUCUUCCGGACAUUCCGGUUGUCAGGCAUCCAGCCAGGAGGCGCAGGUAACGGAGGAGGAGCUACAGAUUCCCCCCCAUCCUCGAAGGUGUGUUUCCGCGGGGCUGCGACCGGUGUCUUUUCCCUAGGAUAGGGGCGUCGCUCGUCCACUACAACCACACCUUCAGGACGACUUCCUCGACUUCCUGCUUCUGUGACGGUCUUCAGCUUCCUCACUGAGGUCAGCCAGCGGGAUGAGGAGCUUGGCGACACGCCUCCUGACACAAAGAGAUACAUGACCUAGGAAGAUCUUCCCUUGACCUGAGAUCUACAAAGCGGAGAGGAAGCAGGACCUGAUGCAAGCUCCUGUCAUUUUUUCUUUGAACUGUUUUGUGACCGAGUGCAACAGCUUUUUACGACCCCCUCGCCCCCUAGAAACAGCUGUUGCUAUGUAAUCAGGGAAAGUCCAAAUAAAAGAGGAUGUGUGCAACCAUUUUGUGAGAGCGUGGUGGAAGACUGUACAAAAGUACAGCCCAGACGUUUCCCCUCAUGAGCCAAAUUGAAUCCUGUCUCUGUUUAAUUCCUUGCUUCUUGUCUGUUUAAUAGAUGUCAUCUGUGUUUGAACCUCAUUUAUUUAUGAGCCUCCAAUCUAUUUGUGGCAGGGCAGGGAAUACAGAUGAGGAAUAAUUAAUGGGUAAGGCAUUUAAAUAGUGUUAUAAACAUGAAAUAGUCAAAUGUUUCUGAUAACACUAGACUGAGUUAGUGCAUUGACAACAGCAUCUGCUUACUACAGGGAAACGAUGGACGGUGCCGCACUCAGGUCGCCCACAGGUGUGUCCAGCAAAUCAAUGGCUGUCUGCAGCUCCAGUUUUUUGUACAGAGACACGAUACUGGACUCUGCCCUGUUGUCUCGAAGCAGGAUGCGUCUCAGAAAGCGAUCGUUAAACUUUUUAAACCUGAGGCAUGGACAAAAGCACAAGGAAUCGAUCCAUUUUUAUGACCGAAAUGAUUGCAAUCAUGUAUUCCUGCAGCCCUACUUGUCUUUCCAGUAGUAAUGGCUCCAUUGGCCGCACAGGUCCUCGAUGCCACAAACAAUGUGCUCCAUCGCCUGAGCGAAAUCACGGUCAAUAUCAGAACAAUCAGAAUAGAUGAUCAACUACCGGCAUGUUCUUACUCUGUUGUGUAUUUCUACAUUGAUGUUGCUUGAGUCCUUGUUGGUCCGUCUGAUAUUCAUGUAUUCUAUGAUGGGACGAAUGCUGAUCCCCUGACAAUCAGGAAAAGAUGUCCGUGAUGGAAGUGUAGGGUCAAGGUACAAGACGGCCGCACCUGUAUGAAGACGGUGAAUAUGAUGACGGCGAUGGAAGCGGUGACAAACAAGUUCUUCCUGUUGAUGCUGUCGGGCAUGGUGAAGACCAGCGCAAAGCAGAUGGCCCCGCGCACGCCUCCGUAGGCCAGACCGAACUGGUCCUUGAAGGUGAAUUGUAUCGUCCGGAGCGGGUUGACGAUCUGAGACAGAACCAGAAUGCCUGCGGGACAGAAGAUGCUCGAAUCCAAGUCUGACGUGCCUGCGCUGGUGUUUCCGCCCACACUCACCGAUUCCUCUCCAGAGCAGGGCGAACAGGAGCGUGAACAGGAUGUAGCCCCAGUUCCACUCAUGUUCCGUCGUAAUGGUCACGACGCCCAGGAAGAAGAAGAUAAGAGUUUCUGAGAUGGUGGCCAACAUCUUGACCACAUGGCGGAUAGUAGUGCAGGACCUCUGGGAGACGUUCUCCUCUACGUAGUACUUCAUGGUUAUAGCACAUGUAAUAAUCCUGAAAGUAGAACAUAUGUGACUCACAGUAGCAAAUACUCACAAUUAUCUGUACUAAUAUUCAUGCCUUUACAAAGAGAAAAGCUACGCC
This is a long non-coding RNA of Nerophis ophidion (straightnose pipefish), 6552 nucleotides long. RefSeq lists it as uncharacterized. The record is from RefSeq and is a predicted model, not a curated record. The transcript has 4 exons. NCBI's taxonomy places the organism in Eukaryota, Metazoa, Chordata, Actinopteri, Syngnathiformes, Syngnathidae.